AAACAACAGUGAUUCCCUUAGUAACUGCGAGUGAAGCGGGAAAAGCCCAUCGUUUAAUCUCCCUGGACUAUGGACAGGGCGACAUGUAACGGUAUGGAUAGGUUCUCUACUAACGACGUCUGACCAAAGUCCUCCGGAUUGAGGUGCCAGAGAGGGUGACAGCCCCGUGUGUGGUUGGACGGCGUUGGGUAUGUGACCGAUUCCGAGAGUCGGGUUGUUUGGGACUGCAACCUAAAGUAGGUGGUAAACUCCACCCAAGGCUAAAUAUGGACACGAAACCGAUAGCGAACAAGUACUGUGAAGGAAAGUUGAAAAGAACUCUGAAAAGAGAGUUAAAAGUACGUGAAACCGCUAACGGGGAAGCGGAAGGCAGUGUCGAGAUUGAGCAAGUGAGUUGUCUGAAGCGUGUUUGGUGUGCUGAGUUGUUGGUGCGCAAGUGCGUUUGAGGCGGCUAGCUUUGCUCGAUGCGUCAGGCCUAUUGGCGAGCGUCAGCGUAACGGUCGAUAUGGCCUCUACGACACUCGUUUGUUUUUCAUGCGAGCUCGUGGUUGCGAUCGGUCGUCAGCGAUGCGCGCUGAUAUGUAUGAGAUGAAGCGCCGGUGAUGUAUGGUCGGUUGUGCUUUGUGGCGUUUUGCAUUAGUCACAUUGUGGCUAAGUGUAGAAUUUUGCAGGUGUACAACAACCGGUGCUAGCUCCUGACGAGAUACCCAACUUUC
RNAcentral lists this ribosomal RNA (716 nucleotides) under Kudoa borimiri. RNAcentral describes it as "partial large subunit ribosomal RNA". It matches the Rfam family "Eukaryotic large subunit ribosomal RNA", at positions 63 to 644 of the family's 3401-position model. The record is from RNAcentral. Lineage: Eukaryota; Metazoa; Cnidaria; Myxozoa; Multivalvulida; Kudoidae.